RNAcentral lists this ribosomal RNA (484 nucleotides) under uncultured bacterium. RNAcentral describes it as "partial 16S ribosomal RNA". It matches the Rfam family "Bacterial small subunit ribosomal RNA", at positions 30 to 507 of the family's 1533-position model. The record is from RNAcentral.
AUCGAACGCUGGCGGCAGGCCUAACACAUGCAAGUCGAGCGGAUGAAGGGAGCUUGCUCCUGGAUUCAGCGGUGGACGGGUGAGUAAUGCCUAGGAAUCUGCCUGGUAGUGGGGGAUAACGUCCGGAAACGGGCGCUAAUACCGCAUACGUCCUGAGGGAGAAAGUGGGGGAUCUUCGGACCUCACGCCAUCAGAUGAGCCUAGGUCGGAUUAGCUAGUUGGUGGGGUAAAGGCCUACCAAGGCGACGAUCCGUAACUGGUCUGAGAGGAUGAUCAGUCACACUGGAACUGAGACACGGUCCAGACUCCUACGGGAGGCAGCAGUGGGGAAUAUUGGACAAUGGGCGAAAGCCUGAUCCAGCCAUGCCGCGUGUGUGAAGAAGGUCUUCGGAUUGUAAAGCACUUUAAGUUGGGAGGAAGGGCAGUAAGUUAAUACCUUGCUGUUUUGACGUUACCAACAGAAUAAGCACCGGCUAACUUCGUG